AACAGGAUUAGAUACCCUGGUAGUCCACGCCGUAAACGAUGAGUGCUAGGUGUUAGGGGGUUUCCGCCCCUUAGUGCUGAAGUUAACGCAUUAAGCACUCCGCCUGGGGAGUACGGCCGCAAGGCUGAAACUCAAAAGAAUUGACGGGGGCCCGCACAAGCGGUGGAGCAUGUGGUUUAAUUCGACGCAACGCGAAGAACCUUACCAGGUCUUGACAUCCUCUGACAACUCCAGAGAUGGAGCUUUCCCUUCGGGGACAGAGUGACAGGUGGUGCAUGGUUGUCGUCAGCUCGUGUCGUGAGAUGUUGGGUUAAGUCCCGCAACGAGCGCAACCCUUGAUCUUAGUUGCCAGCAUUCAGUUGGGCACUCUAAGGUGACUGCCGGUGACAAACCGGAGGAAGGUGGGGAUGACGUCAAAUCAUCAUGCCCCUUAUGACCUGGGCUACACACGUGCUACAAUGGAUGGAACAGAGGGAAGCGAAACCGCGAGGUCAAGCAAAUCCCAUAAAACCAUUCUCAGUUCGGAUUGCAGGCUGCAACUCGCCUGCAUGAAGCCGGAAUCGCUAGUAAUCGCGGAUCAGCAUGCCGCGGUGAAUACGUUCCCGGGCCUUGUACACACCGCCCGUCACACCACGAGAGUUGGUAACACCCGAAGUCGGUGAGGUAACCUUUUUGGAGCCAGCCGCCGAAGGUGGGACUGAUGAUUGGGGUGAAGUCGU
This 719-nucleotide ribosomal RNA is filed under the name unidentified. Its description in RNAcentral is "bacterial SSU rRNA". It matches the Rfam family "Bacterial small subunit ribosomal RNA", at positions 771 to 1489 of the family's 1533-position model. The record is from RNAcentral.